UCCGGUGGUUAUGACGGAGAGGCUCCACCUGUUCCCAUCCCGAACACAGCAGUUAAGCUCUCCAGUGCUGAAAGUACUUGGCUGGACACGGCCCGGGAGGAUAAGUCGCUGCCGGAUU
This 118-nucleotide ribosomal RNA is filed under the name Faecalibacterium sp. CAG:74. Lineage: Bacteria; Bacillati; Bacillota; Clostridia; Eubacteriales; Oscillospiraceae. The record is from RNAcentral.